This is a long non-coding RNA of Nicotiana tabacum (common tobacco), 630 nucleotides long. RefSeq lists it as uncharacterized. Lineage: Eukaryota; Viridiplantae; Streptophyta; Magnoliopsida; Solanales; Solanaceae. The record is from RefSeq and is a predicted model, not a curated record.
UAACAAAUCUUCUUCGGUGGUACAUGUAGUUUUCUCAAAUCACUAAUUUCACAAUUGUAUACUCAGAUUCCACCUCCAAUUUCUCUCAUCCAUUUGAAAAUCUACAGGAGCAAUGUCUUGUUUAAAUCCCUUAUCGGCGGUGAGGAGUCAGCGGAAUUUUCGGAAUGAAUAAAAGUUGGUUGAAUAUUAAGAAUAUAGUUGACCAAACGUAUAGAGAUGGAGUCGGCGGCCUUCUCAAUCGGGAGUUCAGUCAACCAAGGGUGAGCAUUAUGAUUCCAUGUCCUUGUAAAGGGUAUAUAAACACCUUGUUCAAGCUAAGCAUUGGUGUAAGAGGAGACUAGUUGAGGAACGGUUUCUAGGAUUCUUAUAAAGUGUGGAAAUUGCAAAAGAAAUUGGAAGAGAAGCCUGAACACGUGAAUGUAGAAGUAGAUAAGAGCAUCCAAGACAAUUGACUGCUUUUACGACCAGAAUGCAAUAGGGACAAGAUUCUUAAACGAUGACGUCCACCAAGGAAGAGAUUGAAGGCGCGCACCGAAUAUUUUGUGUUUUUGGUCAUAUGUAUAUAGUAAGGCUGGCAAGUGGGCCGGUUCAGGCCCGGGAUCGGCCCGGGACCGCGGGCCAAACGGCUAA